This 480-nucleotide ribosomal RNA is filed under the name uncultured bacterium. RNAcentral's name for it is "partial 16S ribosomal RNA". It matches the Rfam family "Bacterial small subunit ribosomal RNA", at positions 30 to 507 of the family's 1533-position model. The record is from RNAcentral.
AUUGAACGCUGGCGGAAUGCUUUACACAUGCAAGUCGAACGGUAGAGGGGGCAACCCCUUGAGAGUGGCGAACGGGUGAGUAAUAUAUCGGAACGUGCCCAGUCGUGGGGGAUAACGUAGCGAAAGUUACGCUAAUACCGCAUACGAUCUAAGGAUGAAAGCGGGGGAUCGCAGGACCUCGCGCGACUGGAGCGGCCGAUAUCAGAGUAGGUAGUUGGUAGGGUAAAGGCCUACCAAGCCAACGAUCUGUAGAUGGUCUGAGAGGACGACCAGCCACACUGGAACUGAGACACGGUCCAGACUCCUACGGGAGGCAGCAGUGGGGAAUGUUGGACAAUGGGCGAAAGCCUGAUCCAGCCAUUCCGCGUGCAGGAUGAAGGCCCUCGGGUUGUAAACUGCUUUUGUACAGAACGAAAAGGUUUCUAUUAAUACGAGGAGCUCAUGACGGUACUGUAAGAAUAAGCACCGGCUAACUACGUG